Molecule: ribosomal RNA, 235 nt
Filed under: uncultured bacterium
Lineage: Bacteria
Description: partial 16S ribosomal RNA
Rfam family: Bacterial small subunit ribosomal RNA
Source: RNAcentral
CGUACGGGUGAGUAACACGUAUGUAAUCUGCCCCUAACUGGGGGAUAGCCCUUCGAAAGGAGGAUUAAUACCCCAUAACAUAAUGAAAUGGCAUCAUUUUAUUAUUAAAACCCCGGUGGUUAGGGAUGAGCAUGCGUCCUAUUAGCUAGUUGGUAAGGUAACGGCUUACCAAGGCAACGAUAGGUAGCUGGUCUGAGAGGAUGGCCAGCCACAUUGGGACUGAGAGACGGCCCAG